Molecule: small nucleolar RNA, 138 nt
Organism: Tachyglossus aculeatus (Australian echidna)
Lineage: Eukaryota; Metazoa; Chordata; Mammalia; Monotremata; Tachyglossidae
Source: RefSeq, a predicted model, not a curated record
CUCCUCUCAGAAUCACACCUGGAGAGUUUCCAGGACUCUAUCAGUCUCGGCUACAGGAGGGAGAGUCAAGCAGAGGCCUGUCCAUUCCAUUCCUAGCUUGGGCAGUGGCUAGCGAGUGGAAAGUCAUCUGCUACAAGU